This 1093-nucleotide long non-coding RNA is filed under the name Pan troglodytes (chimpanzee). RNAcentral's name for it is "lncRNA (ENSPTRG00000053939.1)". Lineage: Eukaryota; Metazoa; Chordata; Mammalia; Primates; Hominidae. The record is from RNAcentral.
UGUGCGGAGGAACAGGGAGGUCCGUGUGUCGUUCGUGCAGUGAGACUGGGGAGGUCCCGUGUGUUGUGUGUGCAGGAGACGGGCGGAGGUCCCUGGUUCCGUGUGUGGCGCAGGAGACGGGAGUCCUGGGUGUCGGUGGUGUGCGCAGAGGAGACGGGGAGGUCCCUGUGUAUCGUGUGUGCGGAGGAGAUGGUGAGGUCCGCUGGGUGUCUCUGUGUGCUCAGGAGACAGGGAGGUCCUGUCCCUGGGUGUUUGCUGUGCGCAGGAGAUGGGCGAGGUCCCUGGGUGUCGUGUGUGCUCAGGAGACAGGGAGGUCCCUGUCCCUGGUGUCGUUGUGUCGCAGCGAGAUGCGUGAGUGUCCCUGGUGUCGUGUGUGCGCCGAGAACAGGGAAGGUCCCUGUUCCCUGUGGUUGUCUGUGUCGCAGGAGAUGGGAGGUCCCGUGUGUGUCGUGUGUGCAGGAGAGGGCGGAGGUCCCUGUGUGUCGUGUGUGCGCAGGAGACGGGGAGGUCCCUGUGUGUCGUGUGUGCGCAGGAGACGGGGAGGUCCCUGUGUGUCGUGUGUGCGGAGACAGGGAGGUCCCUGGUUCGUGUGUGCGGAGGAGCGGGAGGUCCCUGUGUGCGUGUGUGAGGAGACAAGGGAGGUCCCUGGGUUCGUUGUGCAGAGACGGAAGGACCCUGGGUGUUGUGUGUGCAGGAGACGGGGAGGUCCCUUGUGUCGUGAGGUGUCACAGGAGAUGGGGAGGUCCCUGUGUGUCGUGUGUGCACAGGAGAUGGGAAGGUCCCUGGGUGUCGUGUGUGCAGGAGACGGGAAGGUCCCUGGGUGUCGUGUGUGCAGGAGACAGGGAGGUCGCUGUGUCUUGUGUGUGCACAGGAGAUGGGAGGCGUCAACACACAUUUCAUGCUCACAUUUCCAUUCACUGUCCACACUGCACACUUGUACAUGGUCAAUGUCUAGACAUUUAUAGUUUGUUUAUGUGUUAUAUUCAUCUACUUUAUAUAUAUUCAUAUUUUAGGUUCAUAUAUUUAUUGUAUACACAUUUAUAUACUUGAUCUAUAUUAAUAUUUUAGGUUUAUAUACUUACUAUAUAUUUAU